UCCCGGAAUUCCCGCACCAAUCCCGGCCCCUCGGCGUGGCGGCACAAGGGAUCCGGCUCCUUCUCCCGCCCCGCGCUGGGGAAGACGGGGGGAAGAGGGCGGGAGGAACAGGAAAAGGCGUCAGCGCGAACCCGGCCGCCUUCCCCUGUCCCUCCGUGCGGGAGCCGUCAAGGGCAGCAGGGCUGGAGGAAAUGGGAAUCCAGGACAGCACCGGCGGGGAAUGUUCUUUCCAGGAGCGCUGCACCCUCCUCGGGUCGUUUUUAUACAGGGAACCUGAACUCAUGGAGUUCACAGUACGCCUGAGCAAGGGGGAGACAAAGUCCUGUGACCUCAGGAACCAGUGACGGAUAUCUGCUGGCAAACACUUGGAACAGUUCACCCCGAGUGACCCAACUGCUCUUCAUUUCAGGAGGCUGGAAAUCAAAAUGUGUCUGGUGUCAGAGGAAAGCUGUCAGGAUGAACAAGACCCAUCCCUGCUCUCCUCAGCAGCUUUUGGGGCUCUCAGCUGAGAGGCUGAGAACUCCACUGGCUCUUCAAGCUGGGGACAAAUACCACUCCAGGCAGAAGGAUUACUGCUGUCACCAAGCCUAAAUGGGGAAGUAAUUUCCCAGUAAUUUCCUGCUCAGAGGAGGAAGGUGAACAGUGAUGCUGUUGACAUCACAUCGAUUGCC
Molecule: long non-coding RNA, 671 nt
Organism: Empidonax traillii (willow flycatcher)
Lineage: Eukaryota; Metazoa; Chordata; Aves; Passeriformes; Tyrannidae
Exons: 3
Source: RefSeq, a predicted model, not a curated record